RNAcentral lists this ribosomal RNA (484 nucleotides) under uncultured bacterium. RNAcentral's name for it is "partial 16S ribosomal RNA". It matches the Rfam family "Bacterial small subunit ribosomal RNA", at positions 30 to 507 of the family's 1533-position model. The record is from RNAcentral.
AUUGAACGCUGGCGGCAGGCCUAACACAUGCAAGUCGAGCGGAUGAAGGGAGCUUGCUCCUGGAUUCAGCGGCGGACGGGUGAGUAAUUCCUAGGAAUCUGCCUGGUAGUGGGGGAUAACGUCCGGAAACGGGCGCUAAUACCGCAUACGUCCUGAGGGAGAAAGUGGGGGAUCUUCGGACCUCACGCUAUCAGAUGAGCCUAGGUCGGAUUAGCUAGUUGGUGGGGUAAAGGCCUACCAAGGCGACGAUCCGUAACUGGUCUGAGAGGAUGAUCAGUCACACUGGAACUGAGACACGGUCCAGACUCCUACGGGAGGAACCAGUGGGGAAUAUUGGACAUUGGGCGAAAGCCUGAUCCAGCCAUGCCGGGUGGGUGAAGAAGGUCUUCGGAUUGUAAAGCACUUUAAGUUGGGGGGAAGGGCAGUAAGUUAAUACCUUGCUGUUUUGACGUUACCAACAGAAUAAGCACCGGCUAACUUCGUG